CCUACGGGUGGCAGCAGUGGGGAAUAUUGCGCAAUGGGCGAAAGCCUGACGCAGUGACGCCGCGUGAGGGAUGAAGGUCUUCGGAUCGUAAAGCUCUGUCAGCAGGGAAGAACGGUUACUGUGCUAAUCAGUAGUAAAUUGACGGUACCUGCUCAGGAAGCACCGGCUAACUCUGUGCCAGCAGCCGCGGUAAUACGAAGGGUGCGAGCGUUAAUCGGAAUUACUGGGCGUAAAGCGCUCGUAGGCGGUAUGUCAAGUCAAGGGUGAAAUCCCCGCGCUCAACGUGGGAACGGCCUUUGAAACUAGCAAACUGGAGUGUGAGAGAGGAUAGUGGAAUUCCAGGUGAAGGAGUGAAAUGCGUAGAUAUCUGGAGGAACAUCAGAGGCGAAGGCGACUAUCUGGCACAUUACUGACGCUGAGGAGCGAAAGCGUGGGUAGCAAACAGGAUUAGAUACCCCUGUAGUC
This 465-nucleotide ribosomal RNA is filed under the name uncultured bacterium. RNAcentral's name for it is "partial 16S ribosomal RNA". It matches the Rfam family "Bacterial small subunit ribosomal RNA", at positions 338 to 795 of the family's 1533-position model. The record is from RNAcentral.